Molecule: ribosomal RNA, 164 nt
Filed under: uncultured bacterium
Lineage: Bacteria
Description: partial 16S rRNA
Rfam family: Bacterial small subunit ribosomal RNA
Source: RNAcentral
UAGGGAAUCUUCCACAAUGGGCGCAAGCCUGAUGGAGCAACACCGCGUGAGUGAAAAAGGGUUUCGGCUCGUAAAGCUCUGUUGUUAAAGAAGAACACGUAUGAGAGUAACUGUUCAUACGUUGACGGUAUUUAACCAGAAAGUCACGGCUAACUACGUGCCAA